UAGAAACCCCGACUUCGGAAGGGGUGUAUUUAUUAGAUACAAAACCAAUGCCCUUCGGGGCUCUUUGGUGAUUCAUGAUAACUAUACGAAUCGCACGGCCUUGCGCCGGCGAUGGUUCAUUCAAAUUUCUUCCCUAUCAACUUUCGAUGUUUGGGUAUUGGCCAAACAUGGUUGCAACGGGUAACGGAGGGUUAGGGCUCGACCCCGGAGAAGGAGCCUGAGAAACGGCUACUACAUCCAAGGAAGGCAGCAGGCGCGCAAAUUACCCAAUCCCGACUCGGGGAGGUAGUGACAAUAAAUACUGAUACAGGGCCCUUUCGGGCCUUGUAAUUGGAAUGAGUACAAUUUAAAUCCCUUAACGAGGAACAAUUGGAGGGCAAGUCUGGUGCCAGCAGCCGCGGUAAUUCCAGCUCCAAUAGCGUAUAUUAAAGUUGUUGUGGUUAAAAAGCUCGUAGUUGAACCUUGGGCCUGGCUGGCCGGUCCGCCUCACCGCGUGCACUGGUCCGGCCGGGCCUUUCCCUCUGUGGAACCCCAUACCCUUCACUGGGCGUGGCGGGGAAACAGGACAUUUACUUU
RNAcentral lists this ribosomal RNA (576 nucleotides) under uncultured eukaryote. RNAcentral describes it as "SSU rRNA". It matches the Rfam family "Eukaryotic small subunit ribosomal RNA", at positions 174 to 758 of the family's 1831-position model. The record is from RNAcentral.